RNAcentral lists this ribosomal RNA (469 nucleotides) under uncultured bacterium. RNAcentral's name for it is "bacterial SSU rRNA". It matches the Rfam family "Bacterial small subunit ribosomal RNA", at positions 28 to 482 of the family's 1533-position model. The record is from RNAcentral.
GAUGAACGCUAGCGGCAGGCUUAACACAUGCAAGUCGAGGGGCAGCAUGAGACGGAGAUUCGUCAAAGUCUUGAUGGCGACCGGCGCAAGGGUGCGUAACGCGUGAGCAACUUGCCCGUUUCUGGGGAAUAACCGGUGGAAACGCCGACUAAUACCCCAUGGCAUCAAUGAGAGGCAUCUCUUAUUGAUUAAAGAAUUUCGGAAACGGAUAGGCUCGCGUGACAUUAGCUAGAUGGCGGGGUAACGGCCCACCAUGGCGACGAUGUCUAGGGGUUCUGAGAGGAAGGUCCCGACACUGGAACUGAGACACGGUCCAGACUCCUACGGGAGGCAGCAGUGAGGAAUAUUGGUCAAUGGUCUGACGACUGAACCAGCCAUGCCGCGUGAAGGUGACGGGCCCUAUGGGUUGUAAACUGCUUUAGUUGGGAAUAAAAGGGAGUACGUGUACUCUGUAUUGUAUGUACAUCAG